This 492-nucleotide ribosomal RNA is filed under the name uncultured bacterium. RNAcentral describes it as "partial 16S ribosomal RNA". It matches the Rfam family "Bacterial small subunit ribosomal RNA", at positions 29 to 507 of the family's 1533-position model. The record is from RNAcentral.
AGUGAACGCUGGCGGUAGGCCUAACACAUGCAAGUCGAACGGCAGCACAGUAAGAGCUUGCUCUUACGGGUGGCGAGUGGCGGACGGGUGACGAAUACAUCGGCAUCUACUUUUUCUUGUGGGAUAACGUAGGGACACUUCCGCUAAUACCGCAUACGACCUACGGGUGAAAGCAGGGGAUCUUCGCACCUUGCGCGAUUGAAUGAGCCGAUGUCGGAUUAGCUAGUUGGCGGGGUAAAGGCCCACCAAGGCGACGAUCCGUAGCUGGUCUGAGAGGAUGAUCAGCCACACUGGAACUGAGACACGGUCCAGACUCCUACGGGAGGCAGCAGUGGGGAAUAUUGGGCAAUGGGCGCAAGCCUGAUCCAGCCAUACCGCGUGGGUGAAGAAGGCCUUCGGGUUGUAAAGCCCUUUUGUUGGGAAAGAAAAGCAGCAGGUUAAUACCCCGCUGUUCUGACGGUACCCAAAGAAUAAGCACCGGCUAACUUCGUG